GAUUAACGCUGGCGGCGUGCCUAACACAUGCAAGUCGAGCGGCAGCGAGUUUUACACUGAAUUCUGGAAGCUUCUAGUUGAAAGAGAAGAUUUAUUCAAGAAUUUUGUGUAAAAUGUCGGCGAGCGGCGGACGGCUGAGUAACGCGUGGGAACGUACCCCAAAGUGAGGGAUAACGCAUCGAAAGGUGUGCUAAUACCGCAUAUGGUCUUCGGAUUAAAGCCUUCGGGCGCUUUGGGAACGGCCUGCGUAAGAUUAGAUAGUUGGUGGGGUAAUGGCCUACCAAGUCGACGAUCUUUAACUGGUUUGAGAGGAUGAUCAGUCAGACUGGAACUGAGACACGGUCCAGACUCCUACGGGAGGCAGCAGUGAGGAAUCUUCCACAAUGGGCGAAAGCCUGAUGGAGCAACGCCGCGUGCAGGAUGAAGGCCUUCGGGUUGUAAACUGCUUUUAUAAGUGAGGAUUAUGACAGUAACUUAUGAAUAAGGAUCGGCUAACUACGUGCCAGCAGCCGCGGUCAUACGUAGGAUCCGAGCGUUAUCCGGAGUGACUGGGCGUAAAGAGUUGCGUAGGUGGUUUAAUAAGCGAAUAGUGAAAGCUGGUGGCUCAACCAUUCAGGUUAUUAUUCGAACUGUUGAACUCGAGAGCAGAAGAGGUAGCUGGAAUUUCUAGUGUAGGAGUGAAAUCCGUAGAUAUUAGAAGGAACACCGAUGGCGUAGGCAGGCUACUGGGCUGUUUCUGACACUGAGGCACGAAAGCGUGGGGAGCGAACCGGAUUAGAUACCCGGGUAGUCCACGCCGUAAACGAUGGAUACUAGCUGUUUGGGGUAUCGACCCCCUGAGUAGCGAAGCUAACGCGUUAAGUAUCCCGCCUGUGGAGUACGAUCGCAAGAUUAAAACAUAAAGGAAUUGACGGGGACCCGCACAAGCGGUGGAUCAUGUUCUUUAAUUCGAUGAUAACCGAUAAACCUUACCAGGUCUUGACAUCCUUGGAAUCUUUCAGAAAUGAGAGAGUGCUUUUUAAGAGCCAAGUGACAGGUGAUGCAUGGCCGUCGUCAGCUCGUGUCGUGAGAUGUUUGGUUAAGUCCAUCAACGAGCGCAACCCUUGUCAGUAGUUGUAUUUUUCUACUGAGACUGCCCCGGUAACGGGGAGGAAGGAGGGGAUGACGUCAGGUCAGUAUUUCCCUUACGUCCUGGGCUAGAAACGUGAUACAAUGGCUAGUACAAUGCGCAGCGAAGCCGCGAGGUGAAGCAAAUCGCAUCAAAGCUAGUCCCAGUUCGGAUUGUAGGCUGAAACUCGCCUGCAUGAAGUCGGAAUCGCUAGUAAUCGCAGAUCAGCAUGCUGCGGUGAAUACGUUCCCGGGUCU
This 1365-nucleotide ribosomal RNA is filed under the name uncultured bacterium. RNAcentral's name for it is "bacterial SSU rRNA". It matches the Rfam family "Bacterial small subunit ribosomal RNA", at positions 28 to 1381 of the family's 1533-position model. The record is from RNAcentral.